GAAAGCUUACACUCCAAAGCUUGUUGUGAGCUACCCAUCCCGGUGGGAGGGACCUGGGCCGGGAGCACUGAUGGGGGAACGAAGGGGAGGGGGUGGGGGUCAGGGAAGCUUCUGGAAAAACACUUGCCUUGAUGUAAACUAAGAAAUAAUUGGUUCAAGGCUCAGCACAAAGGGAUCUUUGCGGUGCACAGGGAAGGAAGGAUGCCUCUGGAGGUGGUGGUGGAGCUCCAAAUCCGGGCGAUUUCUUGCCCAGGAGUGUUCCUGCCGGACAAGGAAGUUGUGUACCUUGGAGUCUACCUUCUGAAUCAGUACCUGGAGACAGACUGCUUUCCCUCUGUGUUCCCUAUUGUGAUUCAACAGAGCAUGAGGUUUGAAAAGGUCUUUGAAGAGGCAAUGGAUCCUGGAGCUGUUGCAGAACUUUUAGAAAGCUUCCUAACCAGGUUUGAAUUAGUACAGCUAGUGUCUCCAGCAUGGGAAGAGUUGGCCUACUAUGAAAAAAACACCCGAGACUUCCUAUUCCCUGAGCCCAAGCUGACAUCCUCACACCUUGGCAUGCAGAGGGAGGUGCUCAUGAAGACGGCUAUUUGGUUUCCCGGCAUUGCUCCCAAACUAGAGUUUUCUACAAGGACAGCCAUCCUAGAGUGUGUGUUCCCGUGUAAAAACAGAUUUCUUUGGGAAGAAAGGUGUAAAUUGCAACAGUCUUUCUCAAAACUGAACGGACCGGCAAACAACAGGAAAAAGAAGCCAAAGGAGAAAAAUUCUGACCAGCUCUCCAAAGGCACACCAUUUUGGGGACCCUCCCCACAACGACUCCAUCUCCACCGGCCCACACAGAGGAACCCUGGAAAGAGCUUCCGGUUUCUGGGAGAAAGGAAGCCUCCAUUUGUGGUUAGACAUGUGGACAGUGGAAACCCCUUUGGUGAAAAUAAUUUGGAGCACCAUUCACAGAAGUCCAGAAGAAAACCUAAGUUUAUAAACUUUGAUCUUGCAAAGAAAAGAGCGUUUUCUCUUGACAGUCUCGAGGCAAACAUAAAGGUUGUCAGAGAGCCGGACGAGCGGAUUGUCUUAAGGAGUCAGUCACCGCCACCUCUAAAUUCAGGCCAUUUCAGAAAGCCCUUGCUCAAUCACCAAGGGGAUGUCGAUUUCCACCCGGAAACUACAGUUACCACCUCUCAGCUUUCCAGCCCUCCCAGCCCUCUGGAUCACUCUCUUCUCCAAGAAAGGUUCCAGCCUUGUUCUGCAUCCAUGUGGCAGAAGAUCCAGGAGAGGGCAUGCAGUCUUCUGACACCCAACAGAGCUCACCCAAAGGAAGAUUCUAUCUCUGAAACAAAUUCCAUCCAUGAAAGACCAAGCUACCUUCUGAGGAAACACUUGCUGCGAGAGCACAGAUAUUUUUAACUACUACCUCAUGGGAACAUGACUGAAGGAUGCAGAGCUCGCUCAUGGAGACACUGACACACGAACAGCAUCUGCUGUUGUCUGGGUUGACUUACUGGUGCCUAGCCCUUGUUAAUUCAAAUCUUAUACUCGGUCUUUUGUGCCCAAGGAGCUGACACUUAGAUCCAUGUUUUGAACUGAGAUAAGGAUCACACCUGUUUUAGUGGAAUGACUUCCGGGAACAGAAUGUGAGUGGCAGGUGCUGUGGGUGGAACUGCUUGACUCAUUACGGAAACUCGUCAUGAAAGAUCAUCUGACUUUGCGUAAAGGAAGUUCAACCCCGGGCGUAUGAUGGCAUCCUUUGUGUGCUGGGUCAUACUGCCCUACCCCCUGGUCAAUCCCCUUCCACAGCCUUGUGGGAAUCCACCACUUUCUAAUUACUGUGUGUAAUCAGGUUCCGACUUCGUGCUCAGUAGAGAGGACUGGAUCCUGUGGUGAGGGAGAGGUCAUGUCAGGCUACAAGAUACGGCCUGUCCCCGAUUGGAGUUUCUAUCCUUACUAGUGAAUAAGAUGUUCUAAGUGUGGUUCUUGGAGGAACAUUGCAAGCUAAGACUCGGUGGAUGGAUCUGUGAUUUCAACCACAGUGGGGUUUGAAAUAGCGGUGGCUGGGAACUGGAGAGAGAUGGACCAUGCAUCUCUCCAGUAUCAAAUGAGAAGUUCAGAUUCCUCAAACCCAAAUCUAAAACUACAGAAGUCUCCAUGGCUACCUGGAGCUGUGCUCAGUAGUAUAAAAUAAGGAUACAGAUUUAAGUGAGGCCUAUAGAAAUCAAUGUCAUUAGUUUUUAGCCAAGUCUCAUAUUAACUUAGUAAAAUAAGGUAAUAUCUGGCCAUGUGAUAAAUGCUGUCAUUUCUCGGUGACCCUGGAAAAGGGGAAGAGGACCAGUGAUUUCCUUGGAUGUUAAAGGAUAGGAAGAAUUUGGACAGAAAUUUGGGAGAAGUGAGGCAUUUGGAGAGAGGACAUUGGGCUGUGGAGGGAAGAGGAUUAUCUAUCCUCUGAGGGCAUCUUCUAAAGUGUCUCAGAUAUUAACCCUGGGGCUUAGGACUUUGUGCCAUGGACACUAAAGUUUAGGGGCGAGAAAGAGAGGACUUUCUGAUGAUGGUGCUUCAGAGUGCAGAAGUGGCUGGUCAGGCAUGGGAGGAAAUCACAAGGCAGCUUCUCUUAAUGGUGUUUCAGUGUAUGUGUGUGUGGUGGGGCCAGGAUCCCAAUCCUCUAAGGAGGCAGUGGGGCCAGUGGCCUUGGCUGAGCUGCACGGCAAAUACGAAAUAUGUCAUAUGAGCAAGCAUUGGCCAAGAAGACAACCACCUUGUAGCCAGAACUCAGUACACCAGCUCCUUCAUUUUCAGUAUCUGUGGUUUUUGUGAAUCAAGAUGAACUCAGAGGCUAGGAGGUCAAGAAAAGUCUUUUGGGAAAGGAUUUUAUUUUAAUAGUCUCUUUUUAGCAGGGGAACUAGAAUAGGAAAUACUCGGAAUACUUGGAGGAGGGGAAGGGGGUUACUGAAUGGUACAACAGGGAUGGCCAGGGGCGGGAGGCCUAGCUUUUGUUUAUCUUUCUGAAUCUCACUCUCAUUUGGAAGGUUUCAUUGUUGUAAAUAGGAUUUAGAGGAUUAUUAACACACAGGUUGUUUAUUCAAGGAUUAAUGGGAAGAGGAAAUGAAGGAACAUUCAGGUUCCAUUAUUGUCUAAAAGGAAAAAUCCUGGGCACCAACUUCAGAGUCAGCACGGUCCUCUCAGGGGUUCCCUCACUGAAUGCAUAGCAGGGGACUCAAACGAUUGAGCUCACCUCUGUAAACAUGCUCAGAUCUGUUGGAUUCAAAGGCGGGAAGAACCAUUACUACCCAAAGAUAAAGGGGGCAUAAUGGCUAUGUUCUGGAAACUACACUCAGUUCGGGAGAGACUUCUGGAAAAGGUUCUGAGGUUGGUGUGGAAUCAGUUUAGUUUAAGAGCCCAGGAGAAGUAGCAAAUGGGAUCUGGAGUUUGGCUGUGUGGUCAGGGCAGGAGACCUAAGGGGCCACCGACACGACCUGCCGAGAUGCCCCCUGUGGCCAUAUGCUUUUGGUGAUCAUCUGUGUAGAGUGAUAGUUGUGACAACAGAUGGCUUUCUGGUGGGAUGCACGUAGAACUGAUUGAUCCAAAGCUUGUUCACUCAUCCCUCAGUAUUCAAAGGACCCAUGCACGUUUGGCAGAAGUAGAAAGAAACAGGAAGGCUACUUGGGAAUGUGUCAGGAAAUGCAGAGGGACAGGGAACUACAAUAUCGAUCAAUCAAAGGGGCUGAGUGCAGCAGGAGACAGGAUACUGGUGACUGGGGAAAUGCCUGUUUGCACUUUGCAAAUGGAGCACUGGUUGCCAUGGAGGCUUGGGAGAGCUGUGUGGGUGCUGCCUGCCUGCCUUUGACAGAUAUCCCUUGUGGGAUAAGGGAGCUCUGAUUGGAAUACUUAGAGGGGACUUGAGUGGAGAAGGAUAUGAUACUAAGGAUAUCAAAUCAGGCACAAAGAGGGGAAAGAUCAAACCACUGGGUGAAAGGAGGUUCAUUAACAUUUUAAAUGGCCUAUUGCCAGAAAUAGGAAAAUGGGGAGAGAGAAUUUGUCUAAGUAAAUUCAGUUGUAGCAAAUUAAAUCACAUUAGAAAGCACCAAGAACCUUGAAGGAGGACACUGGAUGCUGUCAUGCACCCCUAGAAAAAGACUUGAAGUCAUGUGUGUGUCCUAGCUGGGGGAACCUGGGCAAGUUCUUAACGUCGGUCAGCCAAUUCCCUCAUCUGGAAAACAGCAAUGGGAGGAGAGUUAAAAAGAACAAAUAGGAUUACAUACAUGUAAAAUAUUUAGCCCUUUGCCAGCACACGGUCAGCAUUUGGUGUUGCAGGGAUCAUAUUCAGUCAUUUGAAUCACUUUAUCGAGAUGCUUGUCAUAUAUAAUAAGAACCAUCUGCACAGCCGGAGUCAUCUGUGUCUAUCACCUCAGAACAAGCUUCCCUUCCUCCCUUGUUAUAUGCUGAAGACCCUCUUAGCAAAACUUUAAGUAUUGCAAUGUAGUAUUUUUAAUUACAGGCAUUAUGCUGCAAAGUAGAUUUCUACAAUGAUUCUUAAAUGCUUCAAAAUGUUCAGGCCACCCUAGACUUUAGUUAAAGUGAAGCACCAGCAAUCCUGGCCUUUUCUGCCCAGCAGUGUCCUGGAAUGUUGGAAGAAUGUUGGUCCUGGAACUGAAUUGCUAUGUCCCCACCUCUGUUCCUUAUGCGACCCUGGGAAAGUGUCUUAACCUUUUGUGCCAGGGUUUUUAUUUUUGGUGGUCGUGAUGAGGGGAAUGGCAUGUCAUAUUACGGGAAAGGAUUACAAAGGUGACAAAGUACUGGAGUCACGUGCCCACAGGUUGUGUGCCUCUGUGGUUUCUUACUGAAAAUUUGCUAAGUGCAGAUGGGUAUCAUCCUAGUGCUCUGCCAAGUCCGCAGUACCUCUUCCCCCUGUCACAGAGCGAAGGCUCCUCACCACCAUCAAACCCACUGUCGCUUCUGCUCCCCUCUUCUGAUCACCAGGUCACACUAUUUCCUAUGGGGACUCUAAAAACAGAGAUGGGUUUUUUUUUCUUUCUUUUUUUCAGAGCUGGGGACUGAACCCAGGGCCUUGCACUUGCUAGGCAAAUGCUCUACCACUGAGCUAAAUCCCCAACCCCCAGAGAUGGGUUUUUAAUAACCCAGAGAGCUUACAAAAAAAUUAAAGUCAUCUGUUGGCACUGGUAAUGACACUUUGCGUGAGUAUCAUUUGGGAGAUGGCUAAGCUCAUGGUGCGGGCCUCUGCUCAGUUCCACGAGCUAUUCCAAACUUUGUUCUAGAUCGGUGUGUUGUUGGGAAUUGUUGUUGGGAAUGUCUCCACAUUGCAUUGCAGUCAAGACUCCCUCCUGUAUUCCUGUGCCCAGAAAGCAACUGGCAUUUGUAUGGUGCCUUUUCUCAAUAGGGUCAGGAAAUUCUGUUCCUUUGGUAUCUAGUACACAAAUGAGUCCCGUUCUGGAGAACCUGCCGGUAACUGAGUUGCUCAAGUACAAGCAUGUCAUCUCUCUCAAGGGCAGCCAAAUCCAGCCACUCAUAAUUGGCAGUCCUAUUUCAGAGGGCAGAACUGGCCCUUCAAUGAACCAAGUCGUCACGCUAUUGAGAUUCAGCUGACUCUAAGGAUAGCAAUUUCCAGCAAAUACUAUUUCCGAUUAGCCACACACUAGGAGUCCAACUGUCCACAAUGGCCCAGCUUUUCAGUCUUGUAAUCCUCACUGGUGAACAAGAAGGAUCAGUGUGUCUUCCUCAAGUCCUGACCUUUCAUUCUGCAGGCAACAGAAUGUUUCUGAGCCGAUCUCUGGUUUUAAAGCCAGUGAUCUCAGAGUUUUUCUAGCAGUAGCCCAAAAUUUACCUUCUCACACCCACCCAGGUAAAUAAAAGAACACAUGAGAGACAGAAAGAUAAGGGAGAAAGUGUGGGAGAUGUUUAUUGAGAAAAAUGGAACGCGUCCUCUUGAGAUAACAGCACAGUGUGUUAAGCAGCUGGUUACAAGGAUGACCCCAGUGAACUCGUGGACAGCUCUGCCAAUUAAUUCAGUGCCACAGACAAGAACCACCUGAUAAGGGGACAGAACCAGCCAUUCCUACAUAAAGUAUUCAUCCAACCUCAUUUAGAUUUAGAUUUGCUUCCUAUAAAGAAUAGGGAUAUUUGUACUUCAAAGUUCGGAGUCACUGGUCACUGUGAGGGUCAGGCUGUAGCCUUCAGGUGGCCAUGGUCAACACUCGUUUACCUUUCUGUUAUCUUUGGCACGAUUUCUGGCUUCUCAAAUAUAAAAGCACGGGUUUAAGAUGAGUUAAGGGCACUACAGAAACAUGGCUGUUCUGAAUCCGUCCACAUUAAGAACGAGUUUUUGUUGGGUUUUAUUUACAGGAUGGGGACAGAAGUGUAGAAUUUUAAUAGUCCAUCUUCAGAAAUUAGCAGGAGAAAGACAGGCAGAGGAUUCUAAGCCACAAGGCCGAGAUUUUCAGAACAGUCUUCUCCAGAGACAGACUGAAGCAUUUCCCCUGAACCACUGGUAUCAGUAGCUUGUGGCCCGGCUUUUAUGGUUUUUAUUCUGUAAGAAUUCAGCAUAGAGCUGGGCAUGGUGGCACUUGCCUUUCAGGCCAGCACUAAGGAGGCAGAGGCAGGAGGAUCUCUGUGAGUUUGAGGCCAGUCUAGUCUACAUAGUGAGUUCCAGGAUAGCCAGGGCUAUGUAGACAAACUCUGUCUCAAAAAACUAAAAAAAUAAAAUAACAAAAGCUAAAAUAAAAAGACUACAGUAUUAGAAUAGCUUGGUCACCUUCCGAUGAAGCUUAUUCAAUUUAUGCAGCCCAUUUUGAAACAGCUUAGGUGAUGGCUCGCCACUGCUGGUUUGGCCCUGGUGGUCAGAGAAAACCAAGGGCAGAAAGGUGACAGCCUUGUGAAGUGGGCCUUGAAGUGUACUUGAAGAAUGAAGCCUUCUGUUGCUAUCGGAGCACAUCUUGCCUCUACGGUCCCUUUGUAAAUGUACUUAUUCCAUGCCCGACAAGGGUUUCCCACCCUCCAGGGAGCUUGACCUUAGAUGUUGUCAAUGGAUGGCUGGGCCACCCUAGAGUUUCUGCUUUAGGGCUUGAACCACAGUAACCCAGCAACUUGAUUUCUCACCCCAGAGCGCCUGAGAGCGUCCUCGUGAGCUCUGAAGCACAGCAAGGCUGGAGCUAGAGCCCUGAUUCAAGUACAAGGAAAACGUCUCGUUUCACAUUGAUAGUUCAUUACUGAUCUCUGUCUUGAAAAUUACAUGAAAAUAAUAAAUAUACACACAUAUACAUAUAGUUCUAUACCGAACACUGACAUCCAGCGUCCCAAUACAGUACAUUGAAUAAAAAACCCUUCCCUUCCCCUAAGCCCCACAAUAUCUUGAAACUGUUAUUGCAGACUAUGCUGAUCCUUUUUGCUUUUUUUUUUUUUCCCAAAAGUAGUUUGAGAGUUGCUGGAGAUGAGGUCAAAAUGGAAAAUUUGGCACUAGUUGACUGGGUGGGGCUUUUGAGCUGAAUUAUAAUCUAUAAAAAGUGAGAAGGCAAAGGAAGCCCCGCCAAUAGAAAGCCUGAGUAAAAAUUUGUAGCCAAUAAUAUUGUUUAAAAACCCCAAAUAUUGGUCUGUGCUUGAGAAAGCAAUUUUUCUCCCAGACCCAUGACCUAAUCCUAACAGUUACUACGUCAUAUACUUCUAAACUUUGUUUUACAGAAUUAGAAAGUCCAGAUAACACAGCUUUCUUAAUUUCCCUUCGGUUCAUCCCACCCCACGUUCCCAAACCCAGAGAACAAAGGCUAUAGAGCCAAAUAUAGAAAAUAAUCUGGAGGUCUGUUUAUCAAACUAAAUGUACAGUUGAUUCUUUGUGUCCUUCUCGCUCCUUAACGCUGGAGUUGGCUAAGAGAUGGCUCCCUCGGAGAUGCCCUUCACAGUCCCAGGCAUCUAAGGCCAGGCAUCUAGAACUGCGAGGUCUGAGUGAACGAGAUGGUGUCAGAUUUGUCUACCGAGAAGCCCCCAUUGACGUAAGACUUCUUCGUAUCUGAGUCUUCAUUAUCCAGGAUUGUGGGCUCCAAGGCAAAGGGGUUCACAAUGUUGACUUCAGAGGAGACAUCCACCUGCUCCAGCUCCUUCUUGGACAGCUUCUCCACGAUGCCCGUCCCAAACGCAUCACCCAGAACGUUCACCAUGGUCCUGAACCGGUCCCUGGGAAAGAGACAGGAGAGUCAGAAUGGGCUGAUUUCCUCUUCCUUCUCCAUUGUGUGGAGAAAGGAAAGGUUCUGAUGUUCAGUUAAGAUCUAAGUCAAUGCAUUUGCAGACUGCCUGGCUCAGCGCAUGCUGCACUGGCCUGGAGCAGAAGGUGGCUUCUAAAGGGCUGAAUAAAAAAACGGGCGCCAUUUGGUCUGUGCUCCCAAUAAGUAACAAUGA
Non-coding RNA from Rattus norvegicus (Norway rat), 8385 nucleotides. Lineage: Eukaryota; Metazoa; Chordata; Mammalia; Rodentia; Muridae. The record is from RefSeq and is a predicted model, not a curated record.